RNAcentral lists this non-coding RNA (79 nucleotides) under human gut metagenome. RNAcentral's name for it is "pemK RNA". It matches the Rfam family "pemK RNA". The record is from RNAcentral.
AUAAUGAUACUCCUGCCUAGCCACAGACUCACGCAAUGGGGCAGUCUUGUGAGAACCACAAGAGAGUGAAAUUCUUGUG